RNAcentral lists this long non-coding RNA (857 nucleotides) under Vulpes vulpes (red fox). RNAcentral describes it as "lncRNA (ENSVVUG00000027385.1)". The record is from RNAcentral. Lineage: Eukaryota; Metazoa; Chordata; Mammalia; Carnivora; Canidae.
CUUGAAGCAAGUUAGCUAGAAUUGGGUUAUUUAUGAGAAGACAUAACUAAUAUGCCUAAAAAAAAUAGAUAGCAAUGACCAAUUAGCCACAAUGUUGAAUUUCAGUGUAUAAGAAUCAUCACCAAAUGUUCUAUUACCAUGGUCUUAUUAUGUGUUGCCCUGUCGGAAGGAUCAUUAGUGCUAAAGAGAGAUUUAAUUCAAUUUAUUGAUGGCGAGGCCAUUAAACCUUUGAUAUCAGUUGUAGUCUGUGCAUCAGAUUUCUUAGCUGAGAAUGGAUUUCUUAUGGGGAAUAAUAGAGGAUAAUGAAGAUAGAAACAAUUACGGAAACUAGGGUCCAGUGACUAUCAGCACAUCAAUAUUUGCAUUUUAGGCCCCAAGGAACCACACAGAGGACAUCUGCCUUAUUAGCAAGACUUCAUGAGCCAUAAAGGAUUUUGUUUGCAUUAAUCAUUGUGUAACAAAAUGUCAUAGGAACUAAGCCCAUUUGCCUUUUUCAGCCACCUGUCUCCUGGCAGAAACAGGUGUGCUGUGCAGGUAAUGUUCUCAGUGUAAAGAAGCACUGACCAAAGAAAGGCCAUGAGAGAAAUAUGCUUACAACAGAGAAGCUAAAACAAUGACAGCUUGGCCAUUAGCAAAGCUCUAUGCCUUGAUCAGGUUGAAAAUAUGCUGGCACAGCCAGCAUCAGCUCCAGCCAAGUCAUGGAUGUGCAGAGGGGCCCAGCAGUAUGGAAUGCAAAGCAACUCCACAAAGUAAGUUCAAAGUGAUUUCAAAACUUCCCAGAAGUGGUGCCAUAAUUUCUGGGCAGUGGCUCAGGUAUGAAAGUUCUUAUUUCAAAUGAAUCUGUCCAGUAAUUCCUG